This 460-nucleotide ribosomal RNA is filed under the name uncultured bacterium. RNAcentral's name for it is "partial 16S ribosomal RNA". It matches the Rfam family "Bacterial small subunit ribosomal RNA", at positions 338 to 795 of the family's 1533-position model. The record is from RNAcentral.
CCUACGGGUGGCAGCAGUGAGGAAUAUUGGUCAAUGGGCGCUAGUCUGAACCAGCCAAGUAGCGUGAAGGAUGACUGCCCUAUGGGUUGUCAACUUCUUUUAUAUGGGAAUAAAAUGCAGUAUUUAUACUGCUUUUCAUGUACCUUAUUAAUAAGGAUCGGCUAACUCUGUGCCAGCAGCCGCGUUAAUACGGAGGGUCCGAGCGUUAUCCGGAUUUAUUGGGUUUAAAGGGAGCGUAGUCGGGUUGUUAAGUCAGUUGUGAAAGUUUGCGGUUAAACCGUAAAAUUGCAGUUGAUACUGGCAUCCUUGAGUACAGUAGAGGUAGGCGGAAUUCAUGGUGUAGCGGUGAAAUGCUUAGAUAUCACGAAGAACUCCGAUUGCGAAGGCAGCCUGCUGGACUGUAACUGACGCUGAUGCUCGAAAGUGUGGGUAUCAAACAGGAGUAGAUACCCUGGUAGUC